This 470-nucleotide ribosomal RNA is filed under the name uncultured bacterium. Its description in RNAcentral is "bacterial SSU rRNA". It matches the Rfam family "Bacterial small subunit ribosomal RNA", at positions 28 to 491 of the family's 1533-position model. The record is from RNAcentral.
GAUGAACGCUAGCGGCAGGCUUAACACAUGCAAGUCGAGGGGCAGCACGGGUAGCAAUACCUGGUGGCGACCGGCGCAAGGGUGCGUAACGCGUGAGCAACAUGCCCUAUACAGGGGGAUAAUCCAGGGAAACUUGGUCUAAUAUCCCAUAGUAUUUAGAGGAGGCAUCUUCUAUAAAUUAAAGCUUCGGUGGUAUAGGAUUGGCUCGCGUGACAUUAGCUAGAUGGUGAGGUAACGGCUCACCAUGGCAAUGAUGUCUAGGGGUUCUGAGAGGAAGGCCCCCCACACUGGGACGUGAGACACGGCCCACGACUCCUACGGGAGGCAGCAGUGAGGAAUAUUGGACAAUGGAUGGAAAUCUGAUCCAGCCAUGCCGCGUGCAGGAAGACAGCCCUAUGGGUUGUAAACUGCUUUUAUAUGGGAGCAAUAAGGUCUACGUGUAGACUGAUGAGAGUACCAUAUGAAUAAGC